CGGCGAGUAGCGCAGCUUGGUAGCGCAACUGGUUUGGGACCAGUGGGUCGGAGGUUCGAAUCCAAAAAAAAAAUCUCUCGCCGACCA
Molecule: transfer RNA, 87 nt
Filed under: Escherichia coli SHECO002
Lineage: Bacteria; Pseudomonadati; Pseudomonadota; Gammaproteobacteria; Enterobacterales; Enterobacteriaceae
Description: tRNA-Pro
Rfam family: tRNA
About the family: Transfer RNA (tRNA) molecules are approximately 80 nucleotides in length.
Source: RNAcentral